This is a non-coding RNA of Schistosoma curassoni, 45 nucleotides long. Lineage: Eukaryota; Metazoa; Platyhelminthes; Trematoda; Strigeidida; Schistosomatidae. The record is from Rfam.
AUCCAGCUGACGAGUCCCAAAUAGAACGUAACACCCUACCUGGAU